CGCGCUGAAAGCAUUAAGAGAUCCAGGACCAUCGGCACUUCGUCAGAGUUCGACAAAAACAGCAGAGGUAAGAAUAGUAUCCGCGCAUUGUCAUUGUGUGCAAUUGUUCAUUUGUGAUCGAUGUCUUACACCGUCAUGGUCAUUCUGCGCUUUUUAUUAUUGUAGCCACGAGUCAGGUCCCUCUAUCAACUAUUGAUCAGAGUGCAUCAUAUCAAUGUGAGUUCAAACAUAAUUUUAGACUAUGCUUUUAAUUUUAAACUAUGCUUUUAAUUUUGCUUCCUGUCAAAGAGUUCUUGUGUGGGUGUGUAGAGUGGUUUUUGACAGUAUUCUUGCUGGCCAUGGAUUCACAGCUUACGUUUCUUUCUAGAGUCACUUCACUGUGUCCAAUGUUGAUCUUUCAUUUGUCUUGCAGCAAUCAGGCGUGCCCGGUUGUCCAAUUUUGAUCAAAAUCCAAGCCCUGGCUCUGUGUUGGAUUCUACCGUCACAAACGUGAUGCCUUCUACCAAUGCAGCCACAGGUUGGAUUCAAGUAAUUUUAAAUUAUUUUUUAAAAUAAAAUUACAUCACUUUUUCCAAAGCAGUACUAAAUAUUUGGUGUUAGUCAACUGAAGAAGCAUGACAUGUUAAGAAAUUGAAACAUUCUAUUCACCAGGCUUGGAAAUAUUUUAUUCAGAAAAAAAAUAGUACUGAUAAGGAGUACAUGUUUAAAAUGCCUUUCUAUUGGCGUCCUCCGAGUAGACGUAUUGAAAUCUACACUAAAUUGCUAAGAGCUACUAAUCCCCAACUCUAUUAAGAGUGAUGUUAAUAGUCUACUGUAAAUGAUCUAAGCCAAAUGAAUACUGUAAAUGUAUACACUUCUGGUUAACGAGCAAUUGAUGUGAAUUCUGCACGUUGCUCCAUCGUCACCUUGAUCAACAGGUUCAAUUCUGGAAUGCAGCAAAGAAUGUUUGCAGAGAGGAGAUCUACCCUGACCUUUAGCAGAUAACUUGAAGACAUACCACUGUCUCCAGAGUGAUUUUUUAAAUUUUUUAAAUGUUAUUCGAGUAAGUUAAUUUCUGCACUUCUUUUUUCUUGCAGCAAUCGGGCGUUCUCCAUUGUCCAGACUUGAUCAAAAUGCAAAUCAUGGAGUUUUGUUGGACUCUACCGUCACAGGUUCAUAGGCCUGAAGCUGUCAUAUCUACCAUUUUAGUUGUCCAGCUCUGUACCUGAGAAAUAGUUUCCUACAUUACGUAACUCAUAAUGCUUGAAUAUGACUCUGCUGUUGAAUUUGUAACCAGGUGUCAAGCGUAGAGGGCGUGGGCCAAGCAUUGAAACAUUGUUUAACCAGUCUAAAAAAU
RNAcentral lists this long non-coding RNA (1336 nucleotides) under Daucus carota (carrot). RNAcentral describes it as "long non-coding RNA (DCAR_LNC005499)". The record is from RNAcentral. Lineage: Eukaryota; Viridiplantae; Streptophyta; Magnoliopsida; Apiales; Apiaceae.